Pyrus x bretschneideri (Chinese white pear) is the source of this 710-nucleotide long non-coding RNA. RefSeq lists it as uncharacterized. Lineage: Eukaryota; Viridiplantae; Streptophyta; Magnoliopsida; Rosales; Rosaceae. The record is from RefSeq and is a predicted model, not a curated record. The transcript has 3 exons.
GACCAGUGCAUGGACGUUUUUGUCCCUCGCUUCUUCCUCCGGUUGUUCUUCUCGUUGGUCUUUGGGGUGCAAAAAUCACAGUUUUGUCCAUGUUAGACGCGUGUUGAUCAUCGACUGCUCAACCUUUUUCUACUUUUGUUCUCUCCUUUUUUUCCUUGCUCUUUCAUUUUUCUUCGUUCCUUUCUCGACUUCUCCCGCUCUCCCCUAUCGUUUUCUGCCAUCUUUGAACCAUUGGUGCCUUUUCUUUUGCUGAUCUUUGUGUUUGCUAGUGUGAAGUCACUUUGUUGGGGGAAAAUUUGUCAACUGGUAGCUUAUUUGGGUUGGUGGGUUGGGUUCCACGGAUCUUGAACUUGCAGAAGCAAAUUAUCUUGGUUUGGAAGCUGCGUAUGUUAAAGAUGUGAUUAAUUGUGAAGAACAAUGAGGUUGAAGCUUCUGCAUUAGACAUUGAUUAUGAAGUCGUUGCCUCAAAGAUUCAAAUUGGUGAUUGCUACGAAGUCAUGAAUUUUCAAACGAUCAAGAUCAGAGGGCAGUAUAAAGCCUGCCACAUAAUACCUAGCUUAUAUUCACUUCUAAAACAGUGUUUAGAAUUCUAUCUGCUGUUUUUCCACCCAUUCCGUGACAUCGAUUUUUCCUGCUAGAUUUUAACAUGAUUUAUUCGUGUCUGAAUAGAUAUGAUAUUCUUACAAGUAAUAUUAAAACAUAUAUAUCUA